Cimex lectularius (bed bug) is the source of this 1342-nucleotide long non-coding RNA. RefSeq lists it as uncharacterized. The transcript has 3 exons. NCBI's taxonomy places the organism in Eukaryota, Metazoa, Arthropoda, Insecta, Hemiptera, Cimicidae. The record is from RefSeq and is a predicted model, not a curated record.
CUUACGCGGGCCAACUUCACUUCUCAUGGAAUUCUCUCCAGGGUUUUCGAUAUUUAAAGCUGUGCCAGUGAUUUAAUGCUUUUUGUUUCAACCCGAAAUUAAUAUUCCCCAAAAAAUUAGCCGAAGCAGUACACUGGAGACUACGACGGACUCGGGCCCGAAGUUGCGCCGCCGCUGUGAAUUCGGUAAGUUUCAGCAGAUUCAAGGAACCGGUUGGAGUACGGCUUGCCACAGCUGAAGUGGGUUCCUACCUUAGGAAUGAAGAAGGUUUUGAUCUAAGACGGCGAUACAGGGUGUUGAAAGGCAAAUCUGUUGGAGUUAUUAACUAAACACGGAAAUCAUCAUAGCCAGCCUCACCUAGAUUCACGACCAAAAGGUUUUGCAAUAGAACACAAUCAAUCCAGGAAUUUUCUUGCUGAAGACGAAGUUUUAUAUCAAAUGUAUGAGAGAGCGCACACAAGAGAAUCUGGAAUCUUAACUGGUUUCUUGACAGGGCACUGGAGAUCAAAUAGGUAUCUGAGAAAAAAAAGUUUUCUGCCAAUCUGUUUCUGUAGAUUCUGCAAAGAUUCAAAGACAUUUGCUGACAGACUGCGGUGCUAUACUUCUCCGCAGAAAGGAGUCCUACGGUACUUACAACACUAUCAUGGAAGAUUCUUAAUGACAAAAUAAAUAGUAUAGCUCGAAAAAAAUUUGAAUAUCAAGAAAGUAUACUAACGUUGAACCGGUACUGGGUCACUUACUACACUUGAGGGUUUUGGAUGUUACUCAACCGCGUUUCUGCUGUGCGCCAUCUUCAGUGAGGAACUGCUUAAGUGUCCCACUUAACACGUGUUCACCAACUCACAGAGCAACACCUACAAUUAACUUGAAGUCUGCAAACAUUUCAUUCCACUUAAAGUAGCAAAAAAGUCACAACCAAUGCCAAGAUCUGAGAAAAGAGGGUUGGUUUCAGUUAAUACAAAUUUUCUCACCAUCGCACUUCCCACGAAACGUGGUUAAAUUGUAAAAUGGUUUGUUUGUUCCUGAACAAUAAUUGCUGUUGACAAUAUCGUGUUCACGGGGUAUAUUUCAAAGGUCUAAGGGUGUUACCGGUCAUUAGCCCCAUAUUUAAAGGACAAUAUUGUCGGGAGGUAAUGCCGUUACGCCCCGCGAUUAAUAAUAGGACAACUGUCACAGCGGUUAAAUUAGUUUAGCGCCGUGAAAAGGAAAAAAAUCUGCUUCACAUGUGCUAGAUUAAUUUUUUUCAGUAGACGAGACAACAUUUUUUGCCUCGAUAAAAUACGUUACAUGCCCUGUCUGUAAAUGAAAAUAGCUAUUAUUCGUGAUACACAGGUCAAUGUAU